UACGGAGGGUGCAAGCGUUAAUCGGAAUUACUGGGCGUAAAGCGCACGCAGGCGGUCUGUCAAGUCGGAUGUGAAAUCCCCGGGCUCAACCUGGGAACUGCAUCCGAAACUGGCAGGCUAGAGUCUUGUAGAGGGGGGUAGAAUUCCAGGUGUAGCGGUGAAAUGCGUAGAGAUCUGGAGGAAGACCGGUGGCGAAGGCGGCCCCCUGGACAAAGACUGACGCUCAGGUGCGAAAGCGUGGGGAGCAACCAGGAUUAGAUACCCUGGUAGUCCACGCCGUAAUCGAUGUCGACUUGGAGGUUGUUCCCUUGAGGCGUGGCUUCCGGAGCUAACGCGUUAAGUCGCCCGCCUGGGGAGUACGGCCGCAAGGUUAAA
Molecule: ribosomal RNA, 375 nt
Filed under: uncultured bacterium
Lineage: Bacteria
Description: bacterial SSU rRNA
Rfam family: Bacterial small subunit ribosomal RNA
Source: RNAcentral